RNAcentral lists this ribosomal RNA (830 nucleotides) under Cellulomonas sp. RODAN4. RNAcentral describes it as "bacterial SSU rRNA". It matches the Rfam family "Bacterial small subunit ribosomal RNA", at positions 55 to 897 of the family's 1533-position model. Lineage: Bacteria; Bacillati; Actinomycetota; Actinomycetes; Micrococcales; Cellulomonadaceae. The record is from RNAcentral.
CUGCAGUCGAAGGUGAGACGGGGCUUGCUCUGUCUGAUCAGUGGCGAACGGGUGAGUAACACGUGAGUAACCUGCCCCCGACUCUGGAAUAACCGUGGGAAACGACGGCUAAUACCGGAUAUGAGACGCACGGGCAUCUGUGUGUCUGGAAAGAUUUAUCGGUCAGGGAUGGACUCGCGGCCUAUCAGCUUGUUGGUGGGGUAAUGGCCCACCAAGGCGACGACGGGUAGCCGGCCUGAGAGGGCGACCGGCCACACUGGGACUGAGAUACGGCCCAGACUCCUACGGGAGGCAGCAGUGGGGAAUAUUGCACAAUGGGCGCAAGCCUGAUGCAGCGACGCCGCGUGAGGGAUGAAGGCCUUCGGGUUGUAAACCUCUUUCAGCAGGGAAGAAGCGAAAGUGACGGUACCUGCAGAAGAAGCGCCGGCUAACUACGUGCCAGCAGCCGCGGUAAUACGUAGGGCGCAAGCGUUGUCCGGAAUUAUUGGGCGUAAAGAGCUCGUAGGCGGUUUGUCGCGUCUGCUGUGAAAACCUGAGGCUCAACCUCGGGCUUGCAGUGGGUACGGGCAGACUAGAGUGCGGUAGGGGUGACUGGAAUUCCUGGUGUAGCGGUGGAAUGCGCAGAUAUCAGGAGGAACACCGAUGGCGAAGGCAGGUCACUGGGCCGCAACUGACGCUGAGGAGCGAAAGCAUGGGGAGCGAACAGGAUUAGAUACCCUGGUAGUCCAUGCCGUAAACGUUGGGCACUAGGUGUGGGGCUCAUUCCACGAGUUCCGUGCCGCAGCAAACGCAUUAAGUGCCCCGCCUGGGGAGUACGGCCGCAAGGCUAA